This 391-nucleotide unclassified non-coding RNA is filed under the name soil metagenome. RNAcentral's name for it is "partial contains 5.8S ribosomal RNA, internal transcribed spacer 2, and large subunit ribosomal RNA". The stretch from base 1 to 122 matches the Rfam family "5.8S ribosomal RNA", at positions 35 to 154 of the family's 154-position model. The record is from RNAcentral.
GAUGAAGAACGUAGCGAAAUGCGAUACUUGGUGUGAAUUGCAGAAUCCCGUGAACCAUCGAGUCUUUGAACGCAAGUUGCGCCCGAAGCCACUAGGCCGAGGGCACGCCUGCCUGGGCGUCACACGCCGUUGCCCCCCCAUCAACUCCUUCGGGAUUGCGGGGGGGCGGAUGAUGGCCUCCUGUGCGCCUAGCCGCGCGGUUGGCAUAAAUACCAAGUCCUCGGCGACGCACGCCACGACAAUCGGUGGUUGCGAAACCUCGGUUGCACGUCGUGUGCGUUCGUCGCGCAUCGAGGGCUCGAAAAAAUGCUCGGCUCCGGCUGGGCUUUCAACGCGACCCCAGGUCAGGCGGGGUUACCCGCUGAAUUUAAGCAUAUCAAUAAGCGGAGGA